This 201-nucleotide small RNA is filed under the name Pan troglodytes (chimpanzee). RNAcentral's name for it is "processed transcript". Lineage: Eukaryota; Metazoa; Chordata; Mammalia; Primates; Hominidae. The record is from RNAcentral.
GCUCAGGUCCUCCCGCUCAGCUGGCGGUCUGGGCUGCUCUGGGGCAGCCCUUCGGUCCACUGCUCUGCAUCGCGGGCGCCGGGAAUUUUCCGAGUCCGAGCGGGUUGCUGCUUUUGCUCAGAGGACAUCCAUGACCCUAAUGGUCUUUUUGUUCAAGAUAAAGUGAUUUAUUGCCUUUGUUGAUUAACCGGACAAAUUCAG